This 763-nucleotide long non-coding RNA is filed under the name Homo sapiens (human). RNAcentral's name for it is "HSALNT0323710". The record is from RNAcentral. Lineage: Eukaryota; Metazoa; Chordata; Mammalia; Primates; Hominidae.
GCUCAGGUCCCCUUCCACACUGUGCAAGCUUUGUUCUUUUGCUCUUCACAUUAAAUCUUGCUGCUGCUCACUCUUUGGGUCCAUGCCAUCUUUAAGAGCUGUAACACUCACCGCGAAGGUCCGCGGCUCCAUUCUUGAAGUCAGCAAGACCACGAACCCACCAGAAGGAACCAGCUACGGACACAAAACUUCAUAUAAGUAAGAUUUCAGAGCCAAGGAAAUUUUUUUGAGCUAUUGACAUCUUUUAACAAGUUACUAUACUCCUAUGAACAAAAUUUGGAACAUAUUUGUUUCUCUCUACCUGAUUUCUCCAGAAUUUGGAAACUACUUGAAUCAAACUGGACUUAUAGAGCAAAUAAAAAUCCCUUGGGAAAACUGGCCUCAUACCUUGUCUACACAGUUCCUGUACAGGGUUCCUGACCAGUGGAAUCUGAAGCCACCUUAAGGCAAAGGAAUGACUUCCAUGGAAUACAGAUGAAGUUGGUAAAAGGAAAUACAAAGGAGAAAAAGUACAUUUGUUCUGUUCUAUGACUAUUACUCUGAUACACUGGUAAUGCUAUGAUGAUGGAAGGAACAAAUAAAUGUCUCAGGAUCUUGAUCUUCUGAUAAUAGAGAGGGAAGUUAACAGUUCCUGUAUUUACAGGAACUGUAAUAGAGAGGGAAGUUCCUGUAUUUACAGGAAGAAUUUUAGCAGGGUAAACUUCAAAACCAGUAAAGGCUUGCGUGUUGCUACCAUAAAAAAGAACAAGAAAGCCAACCACAA